AGAGUUUGAUCCUGGCUCAGGACGAACGCNGGCGGCGUGCCUAACACAUGCAAGUCGAACGGAGUUAUCAAUUAAGCUUGCUUUUUNGAUAACUUAGUGGCGCACGGGUGAGUAACACGUGGGCAACCUGCCCGGAAGUCUGGGAUAACAGCGCGAAAGCGCUGCUAAUACCGGAUACCUUCACGAGAACACAUGUUUUUGUGAAGAAAGUUUUUCGCUUCCGGAUGGGCCCGCGUCCCAUUAGCUAGUUGGUGAGGUAACGGCUCACCAAGGCAACGAUGGGUAGCUGGUCUGAGAGGACGAUCAGCCACACUGGAACUGAGACACGGUCCAGACUCCUACGGGAGGCAGCAGUGGGGAAUCUUGCGCAAUGGGCGAAAGCCUGACGCAGCAACGCCGCGUGAACGAUGAAGGCCUUCGGGUCGUAAAGUUCUGUCAGAGGGGACGAUAAUGACGGUACCCUCGGAGGAAGCCCCGGCUAACUACGUGCCAGCAGCCGCGGUAAUUC
RNAcentral lists this ribosomal RNA (508 nucleotides) under uncultured soil bacterium. RNAcentral's name for it is "bacterial SSU rRNA". It matches the Rfam family "Bacterial small subunit ribosomal RNA", at positions 8 to 526 of the family's 1533-position model. The record is from RNAcentral.